UUAAUUGAAGCCAAAAUAUAAGAGGCAUCUUAAUGUUAAUAAGAAAAAUGAAUUUAUUCCAAUUAAU
Molecule: transfer RNA, 67 nt
Filed under: Mileewa ussurica
Lineage: Eukaryota; Metazoa; Arthropoda; Insecta; Hemiptera; Cicadellidae
Also listed under: 1 other name
Description: tRNA-Asn
Source: RNAcentral